AGUGAACGCUGGCGGUAGGCCUAACACAUGCAAGUCGAACGGCAGCACAGUAAGAGCUUGCUCUUACGGGUGGCGAGUGGCGGACGGGUGAGGAAUACAUCGGAAUCUACUUUUUCGUGGGGGAUAACGUAGGGAAACUUACGCUAAUACCGCAUACGACCUACGGGUGAAAGCAGGGGAUCUUCGGACCUUGCGCGAUUGAAUGAGCCGAUGUCGGAUUAGCUAGUUGGCGGGGUAAAGGCCCACCAAGGCGACGAUCCGUAGCUGGUCUGAGAGGAUGAUCAGCCACACUGGAACUGAGACACGGUCCAGACUCCUACGGGAGGCAGCAGUGGGGGAUAUUGGACAAUGGGCGCAAGCCUGAUCCAGCCAUACCGCGUGGGUGAAGAAGGCCUUCGGGUUGUAAAGCCCUUUUGUUGGGAAAGAAAAGCAGCGGGUUAAUACCCCGCUGUUCUGACGGUACCCAAAGAAUAAGCACCGGCUAACUUCGUG
RNAcentral lists this ribosomal RNA (492 nucleotides) under uncultured bacterium. RNAcentral's name for it is "partial 16S ribosomal RNA". It matches the Rfam family "Bacterial small subunit ribosomal RNA", at positions 29 to 507 of the family's 1533-position model. The record is from RNAcentral.